GAUGAACGCUGGCGGCGUGCCUAACACAUGCAAGUCGAACGGAGUCGUUUUGGAAAUCUCUUCGGAGAUGGAAUUCUCGACUUAGUGGCGGACGGGUGAGUAACGCGUGAGCAAUCUGCCUUUAAGAGGGGGAUAACAGUCGGAAACGGCUGCUAAUACCGCAUAAAGCAUUAAAUUCGCAUGUUUUUGAUGCCAAAGGAGCAAUCCGCUUUUAGAUGAGCUCGCGUCUGAUUAGCUAGUUGGCGGGGUAACGGCCCACCAAGGCGACGAUCAGUAGCCGGACUGAGAGGUAGAACGGCCACAUUGGGACUGAGACACGGCCCAGACUCCUACGGGAGGCAGCAGUGGGGAAUAUUGCGCAAUGGGGGAAACCCUGACGCAGCAACGCCGCGUGAUUGAAGAAGGCCUUCGGGUUGUAAAGAUCUUUAAUCAGGGACGAAACAAAUGACGGUACCUGAAGAAUAAGCUCCGGCUAACUACGUG
RNAcentral lists this ribosomal RNA (483 nucleotides) under uncultured bacterium. Its description in RNAcentral is "partial 16S ribosomal RNA". It matches the Rfam family "Bacterial small subunit ribosomal RNA", at positions 28 to 507 of the family's 1533-position model. The record is from RNAcentral.